UUUCUUUAUUUCCUUCUUCCCCAAAACCGUCGAUCCACCUUCUCUUCCCCGACCCUUCUUCUCGAUCUCUUCUCCUCUCCACCGAAUCUCUCUCGCGUUGUCGCCGAUCUCCGCGAGCUCACCGCCGGCGGAGGUUUUCCUCUCUGGAGUCUCACCAACGUCAGGAUCCCUGGCUACCGGGCGGCUCGAUCCUCUCCUCCCUCCUCCUCUCAUGUCUCUGCCCUAGAUCAUCGACGCGCCAGUUCUUGGCGAUCGGCGAUUCUUUCCCGUCUCUUGGUGUUGCCGGCGAGGAGUGGAUCUUGGAGCUUCGAAGGGGUUAAAGCUAAGUCGGGUCUUUGGUGUCCUUCGACUCUCUGAUUUGUGCCUUAGUGCGAAGCUUCUUUUCCGAUUCUUGCUCUCUUCCUCAUUGAUGGUUGGCGAUCUCGGGUUAGGUCGUAGAUCCCUUUCUCCUUGUUGAUUGAGAGGCAGAGGAAUUCCGAGAACAUAGAAUCGAAUCGGGUGACACCUCCUGGAGACAAUCGGUUGAGUGAGGACCUGCUCUGUGGAUUUCAAAUUGAAUGCUGUGAGUUCUUGAUUCCAGCAAUUUCUUGGUCUCGGCAGCAACAAUCCUCUUGUCCCAAUAGCCACAGUAGCUGUGGAAUUGAGGACUCUGAUUCGAGACGGGCGUCUCGACCUGGGAUUGCUUGAUUGUACCUUCUAUUUGAGG
This is a long non-coding RNA of Zingiber officinale, 706 nucleotides long. RefSeq lists it as uncharacterized. The transcript is spliced from 3 exons. NCBI's taxonomy places the organism in Eukaryota, Viridiplantae, Streptophyta, Magnoliopsida, Zingiberales, Zingiberaceae. The record is from RefSeq and is a predicted model, not a curated record.